GGGUUGUGAGGUUAAGCGACUAAGCGUACACGGUGGAUGCCCUGGCAGUCAGAGGCGAUGAAGGACGUGCUAAUCUGCGAUAAGCGUCGGUAAGGUGAUAUGAACCGUUAUAACCGGCGAUUUCCGAAUGGGGAAACCCAGUGUGAUUCGUCACACUAUCAUUAACUGAAUCCAUAGGUUAAUGAGGCGAACCGGGGGAACUGAAACAUCUAAGUACCCCGAGGAAAAGAAAUCAACCGAGAUUCCCCCAGUAGCGGCGAGCGAACGGGGAGCAGCCCAGAGCCUGAAUCAGUGUGUGUGUUAGUGGAAGCGUCUGGAAAGGCGCGCGAUACAGGGUGACAGCCCCGUACACAAAAAUGCACAUACUGUGAGCUCGAUGAGUAGGGCGGGACACGUGGUAUCCUGUCUGAAUAUGGGGGGACCAUCCUCCAAGGCUAAAUACUCCUGACUGACCGAUAGUGAACCAGUACCGUGAGGGAAAGGCGAAAAGAACCCCGGCGAGGGGAGUGAAAAAGAACCUGAAACCGUGUACGUACAAGCAGUGGGAGCCUCUUUUAUGGGGUGACUGCGUACCUUUUGUAUAAUGGGUCAGCGACUUAUAUUCUGUAGCAAGGUUAACCGAAUAGGGGAGCCGAAGGGAAACCGAGUCUUAACCGGGCGUUAAGUUGCAGGGUAUAGACCCGAAACCCGGUGAUCUAGCCAUGGGCAGGUUGAAGGUUGGGUAACACUAACUGGAGGACCGAACCGACUAAUGUUGAAAAAUUAGCGGAUGACUUGUGGCUGGGGGUGAAAGGCCAAUCAAACCGGGAGAUAGCUGGUUCUCCCCGAAAGCUAUUUAGGUAGCGCCUCGUGAAUUCAUCUCCGGGGGUAGAGCACUGUUUCGGCAAGGGGGUCAUCCCGACUUACCAACCCGAUGCAAACUGCGAAUACCGGAGAAUGUUAUCACGGGAGACACACGGCGGGUGCUAACGUCCGUCGUGAAGAGGGAAACAACCCAGACCGCCAGCUAAGGUCCCAAAGUCAUGGUUAAGUGGGAAACGAUGUGGGAAGGCCCAGACAGCCAGGAUGUUGGCUUAGAAGCAGCCAUCAUUUAAAGAAAGCGUAAUAGCUCACUGGUCGAGUCGGCCUGCGCGGAAGAUGUAACGGGGCUAAACCAUGCACCGAAGCUGCGGCAGCGACACUGUGUGUUGUUGGGUAGGGGAGCGUUCUGUAAGCCUGUGAAGGUGUACUGUAAGGUAUGCUGGAGGUAUCAGAAGUGCGAAUGCUGACAUAAGUAACGAUAAAGCGGGUGAAAAGCCCGCUCGCCGGAAGACCAAGGGUUCCUGUCCAACGUUAAUCGGGGCAGGGUGAGUCGACCCCUAAGGCGAGGCCGAAAGGCGUAGUCGAUGGGAAACAGGUUAAUAUUCCUGUACUUGGUGUUACUGCGAAGGGGGGACGGAGAAGGCUAUGUUGGCCGGGCGACGGUUGUCCCGGUUUAAGCGUGUAGGCUGGUUUUCCAGGCAAAUCCGGAAAAUCAAGGCUGAGGCGUGAUGACGAGGCACUACGGUGCUGAAGCAACAAAUGCCCUGCUUCCAGGAAAAGCCUCUAAGCAUCAGGUAACAUCAAAUCGUACCCCAAACCGACACAGGUGGUCAGGUAGAGAAUACCAAGGCGCUUGAGAGAACUCGGGUGAAGGAACUAGGCAAAAUGGUGCCGUAACUUCGGGAGAAGGCACGCUGAUAUGUAGGUGAAGUCCCUCGCGGAUGGAGCUGAAAUCAGUCGAAGAUACCAGCUGGCUGCAACUGUUUAUUAAAAACACAGCACUGUGCAAACACGAAAGUGGACGUAUACGGUGUGACGCCUGCCCGGUGCCGGAAGGUUAAUUGAUGGGGUCAGCGCAAGCGAAGCUCUUGAUCGAAGCCCCGGUAAACGGCGGCCGUAACUAUAACGGUCCUAAGGUAGCGAAAUUCCUUGUCGGGUAAGUUCCGACCUGCACGAAUGGCGUAAUGAUGGCCAGGCUGUCUCCACCCGAGACUCAGUGAAAUUGAACUCGCUGUGAAGAUGCAGUGUACCCGCGGCAAGACGGAAAGACCCCGUGAACCUUUACUAUAGCUUGACACUGAACAUUGAGCCUUGAUGUGUAGGAUAGGUGGGAGGCUUUGAAGUGUGGACGCCAGUCUGCAUGGAGCCGACCUUGAAAUACCACCCUUUAAUGUUUGAUGUUCUAACGUGGACCCGUGAUCCGGGUUGCGGACAGUGUCUGGUGGGUAGUUUGACUGGGGCGGUCUCCUCCUAAAGAGUAACGGAGGAGCACGAAGGUUGGCUAAUCCUGGUCGGACAUCAGGAGGUUAGUGCAAUGGCAUAAGCCAGCUUGACUGCGAGCGUGACGGCGCGAGCAGGUGCGAAAGCAGGUCAUAGUGAUCCGGUGGUUCUGAAUGGAAGGGCCAUCGCUCAACGGAUAAAAGGUACUCCGGGGAUAACAGGCUGAUACCGCCCAAGAGUUCAUAUCGACGGCGGUGUUUGGCACCUCGAUGUCGGCUCAUCACAUCCUGGGGCUGAAGUAGGUCCCAAGGGUAUGGCUGUUCGCCAUUUAAAGUGGUACGCGAGCUGGGUUUAGAACGUCGUGAGACAGUUCGGUCCCUAUCUGCCGUGGGCGCUGGAGAACUGAGGGGGGCUGCUCCUAGUACGAGAGGACCGGAGUGGACGCAUCACUGGUGUUCGGGUUGUCAUGCCAAUGGCACUGCCCGGUAGCUAAAUGCGGAAGAGAUAAGUGCUGAAAGCAUCUAAGCACGAAACUUGCCCCGAGAUGAGUUCUCCCUGACCCUUUAAGGGUCCUGAAGGAACGUUGAAGACGACGACGUUGAUAGGCCGGGUGUGUAAGCGCAGCGAUGCGUUGAGCUAACCGGUACUAAUGAACCGUGAGGCUUAACCUUACAACGCCGAAGGUGUUU
Molecule: ribosomal RNA, 2930 nt
Filed under: Escherichia coli O157:H7
Lineage: Bacteria; Pseudomonadati; Pseudomonadota; Gammaproteobacteria; Enterobacterales; Enterobacteriaceae
Description: bacterial LSU rRNA
Rfam family: Bacterial large subunit ribosomal RNA
Source: RNAcentral